Long non-coding RNA from Trifolium pratense (red clover), 785 nucleotides. RefSeq lists it as uncharacterized. The transcript has 3 exons. The record is from RefSeq and is a predicted model, not a curated record. NCBI's taxonomy places the organism in Eukaryota, Viridiplantae, Streptophyta, Magnoliopsida, Fabales, Fabaceae.
UUCUCUCUUCUCUUGCUCAGCGUGAAACCCUUAUUCCUUUCAGACUCACAAACACGAAACCCUUUCUCUCUUCUAACUUCUGAGCCGCCGCAGAUACUGAUGCGACCAGGCCACCAUCGCUUCUCCUUGUCAUUCCUCCUCCGUGACGCUGCUGUUUUGUAACUUCAUCACACUUAAAGUUAACCUAUGGCUCAAACCCUCUCGUUGUGGAUGCGGUCACAAUUUUCGGCUUGUGCUUCGUUUCCCACAGUACAAAUUUCUGCUAGGGCACUAAUAGUAAAUGGAAGUGCUCCAUUUAUUCAAUGUCUAGAACUGGAGAAUGUAUGUUUAGGAUAGGAAAUUUUCCUUAAAGGAAAGGAAUAUAUAUUUUUGUAUAUUGUUCUUGUGGACUAGUGCAUUCAUGUAAUUGAUGCAAAUGGCAAGCAGGGGCAUGUGAGCUGCUUUUAAUUUAAAAUGUAUCAAGGAAGAAAUGAAGACAAUUCCUAGCAUCUUGAAUUGUAUGUUGCCGUUUAGUAAACUCUGGUGGUUUUGGAUGAUAUUGAAGGAUUGCAUUUGUAAGUAUAUGGGAAUGAUACUAGGAAGCUUAGGCAAGAUAUUGUCAAGAUUCAUGGAAUGAGAUUCAAUGUAGAUGUUGUUAUUGGUUGUAUAUUUAAAUAGAGUUUAGGUAUAUUUAGAUUUUAAUAGAGUUUAUAUACUAUUGUUUGUAGUGGAAUUAUUUAAUGUAACGAAUACAAAUGAAUCUUAUUAUAAGUCAUUUAAUAAAAUUAUUUUAAUUAAAUUUGAUA